AAGCGCUUGUGACCAGACUUGGGCCCGGUCAAUCAUCCAGGGUUCUCCCUGGUGCACUUGGCCGGCCCAGGCCAGCAUCAGUUCGUCGCGGGGGAUAAAGGCGUUGGGAAUGUGGCUCCCCCGGGAGUGUUAUAGCCCUUCGUGCAAUACCCUGCUUUGGACUGAGGUUCGCGCAUCUUGCAAGGAUGCUGGCGUAAUGGUCAUCAGCGA
This 210-nucleotide ribosomal RNA is filed under the name Nectria pseudotrichia. RNAcentral describes it as "partial large subunit ribosomal RNA". The record is from RNAcentral. Lineage: Eukaryota; Fungi; Ascomycota; Sordariomycetes; Hypocreales; Nectriaceae.